RNAcentral lists this ribosomal RNA (623 nucleotides) under Pseudomonas sp. HPC41. Its description in RNAcentral is "bacterial SSU rRNA". It matches the Rfam family "Bacterial small subunit ribosomal RNA", at positions 29 to 648 of the family's 1533-position model. The record is from RNAcentral. Lineage: Bacteria; Pseudomonadati; Pseudomonadota; Gammaproteobacteria; Pseudomonadales; Pseudomonadaceae.
CNUUGCGCUNUCUCAAGCCUAACAUUUCCAANUCGAGCCGGNNGACGGGAGCUUGCUCCCUGAUUUAGCGGCGGACGGGUGAGUAAUGCCUAGGAAUCUGCCUGGUAGUGGGGGAUAACGUUCCGAAAGGAACGCUAAUACCGCAUACGUCCUACGGGAGAAAGCAGGGGACCUUCGGGCCUUGCGCUAUCAGAUGAGCCUAGGUCGGAUUAGCUAGUUGGUGAGGUAAUGGCUCACCAAGGCGACGAUCCGUAACUGGUCUGAGAGGAUGAUCAGUCACACUGGAACUGAGACACGGUCCAGACUCCUACGGGAGGCAGCAGUGGGGAAUAUUGGACAAUGGGCGAAAGCCUGAUCCAGCCAUGCCGCGUGUGUGAAGAAGGUCUUCGGAUUGUAAAGCACUUUAAGUUGGGAGGAAGGGCAUUAACCUAAUACGUUAGUGUUUUGACGUUACCGACAGAAUAAGCACCGGCUAACUUCGUGCCAGCAGCCGCGGUAAUACGAAGGGUGCAAGCGUUAAUCGGAAUUACUGGGCGUAAAGCGCGCGUAGGUGGUUCAGUAAGUUGGAUGUGAAAUCCCCGGCUCAACCUGGGAACUGCAUCCAAAACUGCUGAGCUAGAGUA